Molecule: non-coding RNA, 22 nt
Filed under: Mus musculus (house mouse)
Lineage: Eukaryota; Metazoa; Chordata; Mammalia; Rodentia; Muridae
Source: RNAcentral
UAGGCCACACUGGGUGCCAGGC